CACAGAGAUAAUAAAGUACGACAACCUAAACCGUGACAAAAAACUAAACGCAUGCCAACUAAAAUGUAACAAAAUAUGGCUGAGAAUCAAACAUCCCCUACAAGAACUGGUUGCAGUUCGCAGUGAAAUGAAAUUUGGAUUUCUUAUACUACCAUUAACGACCAAGUAGUCAGUUUGGUAAGCUAUCAACAAAAAUUGCAAUCAACUAAAAAUCACACUACCAUUAACGAGGGCGUUCGGUACGUGGUAAUUGCUGCACGAACGCGCGCAGUGGCUACUUCAGAUUUAUAACCCGUACACGAACCACCGACACCGAGCAAGACUGCCGGCCGGUCUGACCGCGAAGCUGGCUGACAAAACUGAAGCCGGCUACAUUGCGGUUGGUGCGAUGAACAAAGCCACAUGCAUCGCACCAGGAUUGGGAUUGGAAAACGAAAGGCCAGGAUGGUGAUUUGAUGAUGCAAACUAAAAAUACGCAAAAGGUAGUGGAUGCACAUACAGCAAAGGUUUUUUUUAAUCAGUGUACUCCAAGUCACCGCGCCACCGCGGCCGCACGCCCAGCAAAAUAAUUAAAAGAUCCCUUCAAGAAAAAACAAACACCACCAACCCAAACCAGUUGCGCAACUACACACCGAGC
This 637-nucleotide long non-coding RNA is filed under the name Hordeum vulgare. RNAcentral's name for it is "long non-coding RNA (HVUL_LNC001489)". Lineage: Eukaryota; Viridiplantae; Streptophyta; Magnoliopsida; Poales; Poaceae. The record is from RNAcentral.